CAUGAAUAACGGGGGCAGGACCCAAUGUGCGCGUACUCCGCGUACCUUGACCUGCCCUGUCUGAUUCUACCCAUGUCUUUUGCGUACUCAUUGUUUCCUCGGUGGGCUUGCCUGCCGCUAGGACACUUUAAAAACCUUUUGUAAUUGCAAUCAGCGUCAGAAAUAACUUAAUAGUUA
This 177-nucleotide unclassified non-coding RNA is filed under the name uncultured fungus. Its description in RNAcentral is "sequence contains ITS1". Lineage: Eukaryota; Fungi. The record is from RNAcentral.